GUUUGUGAGGGCAAUCGGCUGUGCUGUCUAUCAUCCCAUUGAUGGCCAAGGGUGACCAUGAUGCUCCAGCUGGCUAGGCGAGUGCUCCCUUCUCUUCGUUUUUUACAACUCCAUAUGUGUCCCUCCAAAACCUGCUUGUUUGGCUAGAGAGAAUAAUCUUGCAGACGAUCAGGGCCUACUGUUCUUUGGUCAAAGAUAGCUGCACUUCAUAGCUAGAGCUUCCAAAAAAAACUUUUAAGAAUGCAAAAGUCUUUAGGACUGUUCCUCAGGAACCAGCAAUGUUCAAACCACAUCAUGUUUGUUUGU
Cricetulus griseus (Chinese hamster) is the source of this 306-nucleotide unclassified non-coding RNA. Its record names the gene 7SK. It matches the Rfam family "7SK RNA". Rfam says of the family: 7SK was discovered as an abundant small nuclear RNA in the mid-70s but a possible function has only recently been suggested. Two independent studies have found that 7SK RNA binds the CDK9/cyclin T complex (known as elongation factor P-TEFb). P-TEFb activates transcription by phosphorylating the C-terminal domain of RNA polymerase II. NCBI's taxonomy places the organism in Eukaryota, Metazoa, Chordata, Mammalia, Rodentia, Cricetidae. The record is from Ensembl.